AGUGUAUUUGGAAGUCAGAGGACGUCUUAUGGGAGUCAUUCUUCUCUUUCCACCAGAAAGAGAAAUAUCUUGAGACGAUCUGGGGAAAAACCUGCCAUCAAGUCUCCAUCAUUAGUGAAGAACAAUAAGAACAACGGUGUGCCACAGGCAGGAAGCUUUGGCAAGCAACACAGGUGAUCUGUAGGUUCAUUGCAUCUAGAGGCAGCUACCCCGAUUGCAGCAUCCCUGCCGCAGGAUCACAGGCCACUGCGUGUCUUCUGAGCAAUUAUCUGGUCGUCUUUACGGUGCUCACAUUCUUCAGAGGAGAAGGGAAGGUGGUUAUCACGGGCAAGACAGGGCAGGGAGCUCAGACUGGAGAUGGGGCGUCACUUGGCUUCUCAUAAGGUUUCGCUCGGAUUCUGUCUUCUGCAAAACCAAUAGCCAAUGCAAAACGUUAUUACCUACCUCUGA
Grammomys surdaster is the source of this 450-nucleotide long non-coding RNA. RefSeq lists it as uncharacterized. The transcript has 2 exons. The record is from RefSeq and is a predicted model, not a curated record. Lineage: Eukaryota; Metazoa; Chordata; Mammalia; Rodentia; Muridae.